Molecule: long non-coding RNA, 441 nt
Organism: Zea mays
Lineage: Eukaryota; Viridiplantae; Streptophyta; Magnoliopsida; Poales; Poaceae
Exons: 2
Source: RefSeq, a predicted model, not a curated record
CAGGAGAAUAGGCUGAAGAAGAGGUUCCUCUACGGCUUCUCCAUGGGAGGAACCGUGGUGCUUCAGCUCCACAGGAAGGAUCCUCUCUACUGGGACGGUGCCGUGCUGCUUGCCCCAAUGUGCAAGGGUUAUUGUAUAUUAACAGCCAACAGUAGUGUCGAAGGAGCACAAGAUGAGGUGUGAGCACAAAGUGGCCAGCAAGAAUGGAGUCAUGGAACAUGGGCAGGAGGGGUGCGGCAGCGGCAACCGAUGUAUCCCUUGGACAAUCUGGUUUUGACAUGAUGCAAAUCAAUCUGCUGUACAUUGUAUUCUGCACUUGCACAGAUUGUUUGGCUAAUUACAAGAUUAUCUCAAUGUUUUGGUUUGGAUUUAGAGUACACUUAUGUAUGAAAUAUUUAUUGGUACUCAUCUAUAUUAUAUUAAUUAUAUUAUUAUUAAAUA